Molecule: long non-coding RNA, 304 nt
Filed under: Equus asinus (donkey)
Lineage: Eukaryota; Metazoa; Chordata; Mammalia; Perissodactyla; Equidae
Description: lncRNA (ENSEASG00005035373.1)
Source: RNAcentral
CGAACAGGCAUCUUGUGAUCCCUUAGGAAUGUGGAUUCAUUCGUUCCACAAGUAUUUCUAUGCUUAUAGAGGACAUUUGGUAUGCCAGGCUCUGUGCUAGGCACUGGAGGUAUCCUGAUGCAAAUAGACUUGAUAGCUGCCUUCACAGACUUUACAGUCUAAUGAGGAGGAACAGGGAGAAAACAAACAGUUUCAUAUCCAGAACCCCAGCUAGAGAAGCUAGGAGGGUAGAGGGAAAACAUUUUUUCUUCUCCUGCAAUAGAAUCGUCAAUCUUCCAGUCUGGGUCCCUGAGUGACUACGAAG